AUGUGACGUUACUAUAUACGGUCUAUCUGAAAUACUAUUGAUAGUAUCAAGCAUUUAGUACCAUCAAAUUUUUCACCGCUAGAUUUAACUCUUUAAUUAUUUUUAUCUGUUAGAUUAUACUAUUCAACCAAUAACUUACUCAACUUUAUAACGACCCAUAUCAUCCUAAUCGUACAUUUUUUUAUCCAAAGGUUAAAAAUUUAAUAGCACCAAACACUUCGUGCUAUUAAUAAUAUUCCAGCCUAGUUCUACAAUAUAUAUAUAUAUAUAUAUNCAUUCGAUUUAGUAUUCUGAUCAUAAGUGACAAAAAAAAUUAAUAAUUGAUAUUCGAUAUCUUAGUAAUUUUAAUUAUUUUAUAAUUUUAAUUAAAAUAUUUUUAAUAAAAUAAAUAAACAGAUAGUAUAUUAUUUUUCUCUAAAAAUUAAAAAUUAGUUCAUUCUG
Molecule: long non-coding RNA, 441 nt
Filed under: Ananas comosus (pineapple)
Lineage: Eukaryota; Viridiplantae; Streptophyta; Magnoliopsida; Poales; Bromeliaceae
Description: long non-coding RNA (ACOM_LNC022966)
Source: RNAcentral